RNAcentral lists this transfer RNA (75 nucleotides) under Clostridia bacterium. RNAcentral's name for it is "tRNA-Gln". It matches the Rfam family "tRNA". Rfam says of the family: Transfer RNA (tRNA) molecules are approximately 80 nucleotides in length. Their secondary structure includes four short double-helical elements and three loops (D, anti-codon, and T loops). Lineage: Bacteria; Bacillati; Bacillota; Clostridia. The record is from RNAcentral.
AGGGGUAUCGCCAAGCGGUAAGGCAAAGGACUUUGACUCCUUUAUCCGUAGGUUCGAAUCCUGCUACCCCUGCCA